UGGGGUGUAGCCAAGUGGUAAGGCAGCGGAUUUUGAUUCCGCCAUGCGGAGGUUCGAAUCCUCCCACCCCAG
RNAcentral lists this transfer RNA (72 nucleotides) under Gluconobacter morbifer G707. It matches the Rfam family "tRNA". Rfam says of the family: Transfer RNA (tRNA) molecules are approximately 80 nucleotides in length. Their secondary structure includes four short double-helical elements and three loops (D, anti-codon, and T loops). Lineage: Bacteria; Pseudomonadati; Pseudomonadota; Alphaproteobacteria; Acetobacterales; Acetobacteraceae. The record is from Rfam by way of RNAcentral. RNAcentral also lists the same sequence under 1 other name.